GGAUUUAUUGGGUUUAAAGGGUGCGCAGGCGGUCUAUUAAGUUAGUGGAGAAAUCGUCCGGCUUAACCGGAUACCGGCCAUUGAUACUGGUAGGCUUGAGUGCGACAGAGAGUACUAGAAUGCGUGGUGUAGCGGUGAAAUGCAUAUAUAUCACGCAGAAUACCAAUUGAGAAGGCAGGUACCUAUGUCGUAACUGUCGGUCAGGCACGAUAGCGUGGGGAGCGAACAGGAUUAGAUCCCUUGGUAGUCCACGCUGUAAACGAUGAUCACUAGGUGUUCGGGAGUUUAUCCUGAGUGCCCCAGUGAAAGCGAUAAGUGAUCCACCUGGGGAGUACGUUCGCAAGAAUGAAAUUCAAAGGAAUUGACGGGGGCCCGCCCAAGCGGUGGAGCAUGUGGUUUAAUUGGAUGAUACGCGAGGAACCUUACCUGGGCUACAAUGUCUGUGCCAGCCGCGGAAAGGUGGUUUUCCUUCGGGACAGAGUGCAAGGUGGUGCAUGGUUGUUGUCAGCUCGUGCUGUGAGGUGUUGGGUUAAGUCCCGCAACGAGCGCAACCCCUAUUGUUAGUUGCCAGCAUUUCGGAUGGGGACUCUAGAGAAACUGCCUCCGCAAGGAGUGAGGAAGGUGGGGAUGACGUCAAAUCAUCGUGGCCCUUACGCCCAGGGCGACACACGUGCUACAAUGGACGGUACAACGGGUCGCCACACAGCGAUGCUAGCCAAUCUCUAAUAAC
This 730-nucleotide ribosomal RNA is filed under the name uncultured organism. Its description in RNAcentral is "bacterial SSU rRNA". It matches the Rfam family "Bacterial small subunit ribosomal RNA", at positions 547 to 1282 of the family's 1533-position model. The record is from RNAcentral.